RNAcentral lists this long non-coding RNA (1525 nucleotides) under Marmota monax (woodchuck). The record is from RNAcentral. Lineage: Eukaryota; Metazoa; Chordata; Mammalia; Rodentia; Sciuridae.
ACUUGUGCUGCCCAAGACAGCCUCGCCGCAGGUCUGGACUGCUCAGCUCUGUUGUGUGACAGAGAAGUAAACCUCCAUCUGUUGAAGCCACUUUGGAUUCCUCUGAUACAGCCUCUUAGAACAUAUACGGCCAUCUGCAGCACAGAGCCAUGGUACAGCUUUCUCUGAUUUCCUUCCUGUGUGGACCUAUUAUGAGAGAACAGUGUGCAAGUUCUACUCUGCAACCUGGAGCAAAGCAUCCAUCAAUGUGAGGCACCUGGAUCAGCCUGUGCUACUGCAAAGCCUCUUAACUGGCCUCCUCGCUCUUACUCUUGCCUCCCACAUUAGAGUGGGUUUUUUAAGAUGUAAAUUAUAUUAGGCCAUUCCCUGCUUAAAGCCUUCUAGUGACCUCCCUUUGCAGUUGGAACAAGAGUCCAACUCCUCCCAGUGACCUGGGUUGCUAUCAUGAUCCGCCUGCUCACCUCUCUGCACUGUCCCCUUUACUUCUAAUCCAGCCCAGUUGCCUUCUGGCUGGUCCCCCAGUGCAUCACACUGGUUCCCCACUGUGUCACCAUUACACUUGGCCACACCACUUCCCCUGCUGAGAUUAGUCUCCCUGAACAGCUUGGCUUGUCCUCACCUUUCACAUCCCAAUGUCACCUCCAGUGGGGAUGUGGGGGGGGGGGUGUGGGCUGCUCCCCCAUUCUAAAACAACCCACCCCUAGUCCUUGGGGGGCACUUUCUCCUGUUGGUUUUCAUCACAGCACAUCAUUCUGCAGUUAUCUUGUUUACUUGUUUACCUGUUUAUUCGGUUUCUCCUCCACUGAAAUGCAAGCCGCAGUUAAAUGGGACCCUUCUCAAUGCGUUCCCCGCUUCUCCCUGGUGCUGAGUGGACAGUUCAUCGUCCAUGGUAGAUACACGGUCAAAACUUGGAUGAAGGCGUCUCCCUGACUGGCCACAACAUCUUUGAAGCCCUCAAUGCAGAGGUGGCUGUGCUGGAGCACAGCAGGGGCGGCCCUGGUGGAGUCCAUGCUGAGCUGCCCUGCUGGCGGGCUGGUCUCUCAGGCUGCUAGGAGAGCUGCCCUUGGUCUUGGAUACCUUUGUCUUUGCUUGGGUGUCCCCAUGCUUGUCUCCACUGGCCACUUGUUAGGUGAGAGGACCCCGGGUGUCACCUGAUGUUGGGAGAAAGGAACGCUUCCUGCAGAGACCGGGCGAGCCUUUCCCCAGUGCAGCCCCAACACCCAGCAGCCCCUUCUGCCUGCGUGGAGCAAGCCCUUCUGUUGAGACAGUUGUGAAGGUUACUCGGAUUUGAUCAGUGCAUAUGCUGUGCACCUGUGUAGAAAUAUCACACUGCACCUCUUAAAUAUACACCAUCAUUUCAUGUCAAUCAAAAUUUUAAUAAAUGUAUAUUUCAGCAUUUCUCAUAUAUUUUAAAUGUUCUCACCACCAAGGAACAAUAAGUAUGUGAAGGGAUAGUUAAUUAACUUGAUUUACUCAUUCAACAGAGUCUACGUGUGCCACAUCCCAUUGUACCCCAUAAACAUAA